CUCACGGAGGCAGUCAAAAGCCUCCAACAAUAGCAAACCCAGCCCCGACAACCACUGACAGAGCAACCGGUGGCGCAUUCAGCGCCUUCCAAGCAUAGCCGCCGUCAUCCACGAUGAUCUCCGUCUCCUCCACCAGAGCGGCGAUCUCGGCUCUCUCAACGAGAUGAGCAGCGACAUUCGUGAUACUCUCAACGUGCCACCCACCAUUCACAACACCCCUCUCCUUCCCAGU
RNAcentral lists this long non-coding RNA (232 nucleotides) under Elaeis guineensis (African oil palm). RNAcentral's name for it is "long non-coding RNA (EGUI_LNC015687)". The record is from RNAcentral. Lineage: Eukaryota; Viridiplantae; Streptophyta; Magnoliopsida; Arecales; Arecaceae.